This 242-nucleotide long non-coding RNA is filed under the name Sinocyclocheilus anshuiensis. RNAcentral's name for it is "lncRNA (ENSSANG00000034951.1)". The record is from RNAcentral. Lineage: Eukaryota; Metazoa; Chordata; Actinopteri; Cypriniformes; Cyprinidae.
AUUAAUUCACUAUCCCAAGAACGCUCAGACCUGUCCGUUUCGAAGUGAGCUGAUGACGGAGUUAGAGAAGAGAGAGCUGCAGACUGCAGAGAUCACGUGAGGAGAGACUGGAGGACUGGAUUGGGGGAUGGAGGACUGGUGCUGUCAGCCAGAUGGGACUGAUUGUUAUUGUGUUCUCCAUGGGCUGCAGUGUGUGUAGCCUCAGUCUAUUUGUGAGCAGCACUACACAUGAUUUAAACUAG